GGACGCCGGCAGCCAGCCGCCCUCCGGACCGGGGACCCAUCGAGUCCCAGGGGUGAAGCGCGACCUCUCGCGCCGGGCGACUCCCCCGCCCGAACCCGUCAGCUAACCCGGUAGGCGACCGUGGAGAACAGGA
This 133-nucleotide small RNA is filed under the name Geodermatophilus nigrescens. RNAcentral's name for it is "c-di-AMP sequence". It matches the Rfam family "c-di-AMP riboswitch aptamer (ydaO/yuaA leader)". Rfam says of the family: This family represents a conserved RNA structure found upstream of the ydaO and yuaA genes in Bacillus subtilis and related genes in other bacteria. The ydaO/yuaA element is thought to act as a genetic "off" switch for the ydaO and yuaA genes in its native state. The record is from RNAcentral. Lineage: Bacteria; Bacillati; Actinomycetota; Actinomycetes; Geodermatophilales; Geodermatophilaceae.